Molecule: RNA transcript, 3864 nt
Organism: Pseudopipra pipra
Lineage: Eukaryota; Metazoa; Chordata; Aves; Passeriformes; Pipridae
Gene: SLX4IP
Gene name: SLX4 interacting protein
Exons: 11
Source: RefSeq, a predicted model, not a curated record
CCCGGUCCCGCCUCAGCCCCUGGCGGCCAUUUUGCGUGCGGGCAGAGCAGGGCGUGCGGCGGCGACGGGCGCGGCCAUUUUGGGUGUCCGCCUCUCCCCACUCCAGGCAAAGGCACCCAGAGAUGGGCAGUGUGUGAAUAGUUUGUUGCUGUAUCUUCAAGCAUCUGGUACGAGUUUUCAGUUCCUCAUUCCCUUUGAGUUCCAAAUUCCCUCGCCACAGGAAGCUACUUCUUUUCUAGGGACCAGCUUACUCUGACCUAGGAUGGCAUCCAACAAAUUUGUCAUUAAGUGUGGGAACUUUGCUGUCCUGGUGGAUGUUCAUAUUUUGCCUCAAGGCUCCAGUAAAGACACCAGCUGGUUUUCAGAUCAUGAGAAAGAGGAGCUCUGCAAGCUGCUGGAAGAAGUUGUUGCUUCAAGAGUCCAGCACUACUUGGAAGCACGAAAACAACGUGGUCAGUGGAAAUCAGGGGAACACAGAUCAUCUGCUCCCUUGUUUCUCACAGCCAACAGUCUCCACAUCACUGCCUACUUCAUGAAGAGAUGGGUUAAUCUCCGUUGUGCUUUAGGGAAACGUUAUCGUGAGCUGCGUGUGUUUCCAGAGAAAUUUAUAGUUUGUGUCAGUAAACUUGACUUUGAUCCAAGUGCUUGGACAGGUGAAAAUGAUGUAUUGAAAGAAGAACUUUCCAGUGGGGCAUCUGAAUAUUUUACUGAAUCUACUGAGAACAAGGAGCUUAAGAUCAGUCUGAAUGAACAAAUAAAGCAAGACAUCCUGAAAAGAAUUGUGAAAAGGACAAAAACAAGGAAGAGCAGUGCAAGCCAACCUCAAAUCAGCAAGGGCUCCAAGAAAGUGUAUCUUGGCUCGGUGGACUCGCAGGCAGAGAACAGAAAGAGCGACUGUCAAACUGCUCUCAGCCCUCGCUCUGAUGUGAGACGUCGCAGCCCAGGCCUGCUGAAGGACUGCACAAAUACAGCUGGGAGCAGCUUGGAGCUUCCUGUUUUAGAGCUGGAAAAUUAUGUUAAUCAGAGACAGGCAGAUGAUGUUAGCAGCCAGCAAAAACCUCACGCUCUGGAGUGGUUGGAGUCGAGUCUUCUAAGUGAGAACCCUCCUUGCAGCUCUGAGUCAGCACUGCUGGGUCCAAAACAAAGUCAAAAAGUGACCAAAACACAGGCUCAACUAAAGAGCUGUGGUUCAGAGGAGAAGUUAGAGCAAUGCAAAAAAGUGUCCUCUGAAGGGACUCCUUUAAUUUCUGUCCAUCCAGAAAUGAGUAAGUGCAAUGCUGAUUGUUUGGGUCCAUUCCUGGGGGAGAAGACCCCCCGUAAUUCCAGGUUGUUUUCUAAGCAAGACAGGGCAAAGACUGCAGCUGACAAGCAAUCAUUGACUUGGACAAAAGAACCCUCUCAGCCUCUUUCUGUGAGGAACAGUAGAGUGCAGACAAGCCAACAUGAGCCAAGCACAGCCACUGAGGGAUUGCCUGCGAUGCCAUCACCGAGUCUGGAACUGCAAGCUGUGUCUUCAGAGAAGCUUCCCCAAAAAAGAAAAAAAGAAGCUGAAAAUGGUCUCAGGAAGUUAAAACUUCGAAGGCUUAAGAAGUCAUAGAAUCUGGAGUAUUACCUUGGUGGCACAAGUGGUCACCCAAAUCUGUGUGUAAGCAAAAACCGUUUGUGUGAUGUUUCUCGGUGCUUUGCAGUCAGGUUGCUAAUCCUUACCCAGCUUCAGGCUCUGCUAAGAGAUCUUUCCUAGUAACAGCAUAACCAAGGCUGCCAAAAACCUGGUUUGGAGGAAGAAGAGCUUGAGGUAUGUUUACUGUUGUCUUUUUUAUGGACUGGAGAUACUGGGCCAGGAAGGGAGUAAAAAGCACCUUUUUGAUGGAUUUGAGAGAGGUAUAAGGACAUUUAAUGAAGUAUUUAUCAGAAAAAUAAGAGUAAUUAAAAUAGUUGGAUAGUUUAUAUUAAGGUUUUAGCAUAGAUAACUCAAGUGUCAGAAACCAGAGGGCAACCACAUACAGUUUUUAUUAUCUCCUAACGUUAUUAAAUGUGGUUUAACCUUAUAAUUACAAUUUAUUUGUAAUCUUAACUGGAUAAGAUACCUGCCUGCACCCUUACAAAGGAAUGCCAUACAUUAUAGGGGGCUUGGAUACAUCAAACUUUCUCACAAGUGCCAAGUUGCACCAUUUCUGCUGCCCUCACUGACUCACUGGGUUCGAGGCUCUGUAUUUAGAGCUUCAUUCCUUGAAAAAGUCGUGUCUUGGAUCCUCUCAGAAAUGCAGUUAUUCAGGGAAAGAGCUUUGAAUCGAUGGUCAUUUCUGGAUUUUAGGUGGUGUUGCUGCUCAAAACUGUUGUUUCUGUUGUCUGUGCAACAGGACUUCUGUAAUAGCUUCCCUUUUGCAAACCUGGUGGGUGCUUUGGGUGGUGCUGGGACACUCAGGCUGUGUCACUGUCAUGUCUGUUAUCUCUUUAUUUUAAGCCCAGGGUCUCUUCUCAGACUUUGCUUUUUCUUUAUCAGCUGCACCCAGAGGACUGGCAGAGGUGUGGUCUGACAUGCUUUUGAACCACAAACCUGAUUUCCUUAAUCAAGUUUAGGGAGAAAAAGGAAGCUGGAAACUGAGCUGUUUCCAAAUCUUGGCUGUGGCUUUCUGUUACCAGUUUGCUUCUGAACAGCACAAGCACACCUUUCUGUUAAAAGUAAGGAAUGUUUAAGGCUCUCUUCUGUUCUGAAACUGCCACUGAAGCACAGAAACAGUAUCUUUGGUUCAGUUUUUUCUCUCAAACCAGCCAGCUUUGGUGGGUUUUUAUUUUUGAUGAAUCAUCUGGUUCAUUUGGUCUGUGCUCUUUGCUGAUAGUGAAACAGCCCUUUCCUAGAGAAACACUUUCUAUGGGUGCAGACGAUUGUUUCCAUUAUUCUUUACAUCAAAGGAGUUAAAAAUAUUUGUUUAGUGAACUUUUGUGUUUAAACACACAUCAAAAGCUAGACCAGCCUUUUACGUAAUCAUUUAUAAAGAGGAAGCAGCUGAUGUAAAAUCUCCCUUGCCCAGUGUUGAUCCAUAGGAAGGUUUAAAGCAUCCUAAGACUUAUUGUGAGCACUAAGCUUUGUGUUAAUUAUGGUGUUAUCUGCCAGGUAAGAACCCAAACUUUCCUUGCUGCAGAAGGUUUUGUCCAAGUGAGGUGUUAAGGAGCCAUUUAUUUGGUCAGGGAGUUCCUUCUCCCUUGCCUUGGCUGAGAUUUAAUUGACAUUUUCAUCCCAUUGGUUUUUGACUGGAAAAUGGGUUCUUUCUAAAAAAAAAAAAUAACAGAGGAAAUAUUUUUCUGUUUGCAGUGGGAAUAAGAAAGAUGUAAAAUACAGACUUUCCCAGAUUGCAUGUUGUGAAUAGUUAUCUCCUGGCUGUAUCAGUACCAGUGAGAGGUUUUGUUCUGUAUUCAAACAGGCUGCAGCAAACAGAGGCAAUAACGCCGAGUCUCUUUGCCAGCAGUGGGAAGUGUGGGUUGGCCUCAGAAAUUAGCUUUAAUAAAAGGCACUCCUCACUUCUUUGCUUUGUGCUUUUUUUUUUUUUCUCCUCUAAUGAGCACUAACUGGCUUCCCCUCACCUGUGUGAAGGAGAAGAUGUGGGCUGGGGGAACAGCAGCACAGGAGCCUUUCAUCAGAGGGAUAUCAAAGCAGCUGAACUGAGAGGGAGGCACAUGUGCUUAUCCUGAUGGCUGGGGCAGCACUGAGGGAAGUUUUCCAAGGGAAAGCCAGCUGGCAGGCACUGCACUGACAAGGCUCCAGGCAUGUGAUUGGGAAGAGUAAGAGCAGCCCCCCCACCAAGGUAGCACAGCCACGGUGGAAACCUCCUUCUGAAGUGAGUUUAAAAGAAAAAGUAACACUAA